RNAcentral lists this ribosomal RNA (253 nucleotides) under uncultured bacterium. Its description in RNAcentral is "partial 16S ribosomal RNA". It matches the Rfam family "Bacterial small subunit ribosomal RNA", at positions 524 to 776 of the family's 1533-position model. The record is from RNAcentral.
UACGAAGGGUGCAAACGUUGCUCGGAAUUAUUGGGCGUAAAGAGCUCGUAGGCGGUUUGUCACGUCUGCUGUGAAAACUGGAGGCUCAACCUCCAGCCUGCAGUGGGUACGGGCAGACUAGAGUGCGGUAGGGGAGAUUGGAAUUCCUGGUGUAGCGGUGGAAUGCGCAGAUAUCAGGAGGAACACCGGUGGCGAAGGCGGGUCUCUGGGCCGAUACUGACGCUGAGGAGCGAAAGCGUGGGGAGCGAACAGG